CAGCAGCAGCCACGGGAAUACAGAGGGUGCGAGCGUUAAUCGGAUUUACUGGGCGUAAAGCGUGCGUAGGCGGCUUCUUAAGUCGGAUGUGAAAUCCCUGAGCUUAACUUAGGAAUUGCAUUCGAUACUGGGAAGCUAGAGUAUGGGAGAGGAUGGUAGAAUUCCAGGUGUAGCGGUGAAAUGCGUAGAGAUCUGGAGGAAUACCGAUGGCGAAGGCAGCCAUCUGGCCUAAUACUGACGCUGAGGUACGAAAGCAUGGGGAGCAAACAGGAUUAGAGACCCCCGUAGUCCCUGUCUCUUAUAA
RNAcentral lists this ribosomal RNA (304 nucleotides) under uncultured bacterium. RNAcentral's name for it is "partial 16S ribosomal RNA". It matches the Rfam family "Bacterial small subunit ribosomal RNA", at positions 506 to 809 of the family's 1533-position model. The record is from RNAcentral.